This is a non-coding RNA of Paramuricea clavata, 1977 nucleotides long. Lineage: Eukaryota; Metazoa; Cnidaria; Anthozoa; Malacalcyonacea; Plexauridae. The record is from the annotation of a GenBank genome assembly.
GAAGGGUAGCGAGCCCCUCUAACAUCAACCUGAACCAAGAGGUCAUAAUCCCCUUGGACAGUCCCUACGAUUCGACUGAUUAUAUUUACAUAAAUAACUGAGUCGAUGGGCCUGAAGUUGACCAUUGGGAACACUUCAACCCCACAAAUACACAGCAUGUGUAUUCCCCAUAGACGAACUCCCACCACAGCUGUAUUCGUAUACAAGACAGCUGCUGCCAGAUGAUAGUUAGACAUAUAUUUGGGCGUUACUAUCACUCAUACUAUAGCUGGAUAGUCAGGGAGGCCAGAAAAAACCUGGAAUAUACAGGAAACCUGGAUGGGGCCAAGACAACCAGCAGCUUCCCCACAAAGCUUCUAUCUUACAAUUUUUUAAUUGGAGGGUUGGUAACACGACAAACAAAGCUCACUAUCGAGGCACAUUUUAUUUAUUUUUAUUUAUUUAUUUUUUAUUUUUUUUUUAUUUUUAAUAUAUACCAUGAUAUGUCAAUUCCAGCGUUCAUAAACUCUUUUCUGUCACAUUGUCUCAGUUCAUGAAUACGUUUUGCACAACAUUUAUUUGUUAACCACACUUAUUUUAUUUCAAUUAUGAUCGGUGGAACUUUCUCGAAUUAUGUGACAUUACUCUCAGAAAAAUAGCUUAUUCAUUACUUUAAUUCAAAAUAGCAAGACCAAAAUUUUGCGAUCGAACAUCCAAUCAUCAGUCAUGCAUGCAUGAUAUUAGCAGAAAGAAAUUGUAAGAAUAUGUAUUUGGUAGUCAAAAUAGAUUAUAUGCAGUAAAUAAUAGUACAUUAAAGGAUUUUCAAUUUUCAUAAGCGUAGGCAUACAUGGUAUCGUACCAAUCUUUCCUGAUAUCCAUCUUGCCGAUUUAUCGCAAAUGUACCUAAACGUAUAUCAUGUGCAGAGUUUUAAGUCUCAAAUUUCGUUCACAAAUGAGCUUGCUUUCUUAAGUUUUGAACAGUAAAGUAUUGAAAAUGUAUGCAGGUCAAAUUAAUUUUGUGAAAUAGCUAAAAAAGAAGUUUUAUAAUUCUACUUUUGAGCGAUUGAAUACAGUUUAAUGUAAGGCCUGAUUGAAACCCAAUCCAACGCCAAAUCUGAGGCGUAAUCUGAAGCCUUAAACUGCGGCUAACCUCAAGGUAGUAAUAAAAUUGUCAUUGGAAUUUUUUAUCGACAAAUAUAAAUACACCAGAAUGUUGUUAUAAAAUAGACGAAUUUUAAUACAUUUUGGUUGGUUUGAGAUGCGGAAUACGAAACAAACGUGUCAAUGCACCGCAUACUUACGCGCCGAAUACCGCUUCACUUUAGGAAGCAUGUGCAUUGAGACAUGGAAUGAUAUCAAUUGAACGCUUGUUGAUUUCGUGUUUAGCGGCUUUAGCCUAUCGAUCUUGUUGUUAUUCCCCCAGUGGCGGUUUCAUUUAAUGGUAAUAACUUCGUCGGGACUUGGGCCAACGUAUUCCUUUGUCCACCAGAAGAGUAAAAGCGCUUGUCCGGUAGAGUUCUAUUUGAAUAAACUGCGUCUCACUGAAUUAUCAUACUGAGUUACUGACCAAAUUUUCUUUAAUAUAACCAUGAUAUGUCAAUUCCAGCGUUCAUAAACUCUUUUCUGUCACAUUGUCUCAGUUCAUUCGAUGUCCGUAAUUCUUUGCAGCCCCGCACCAAGUCAAAUUUUCAAAUUUUCUUUCUCGGUAACAAGACAUUGCUCUUUGUUGGGAUAUUUGUCAAAGUGAACUCCCUUAUCACAUUGACCUUUGUUCUGCGUGUUCGUUGUUGACAUAUGAUUGGUCAGUUGAUCUUUCAUUCGGUUUACACAUGCCCAGAGAAACAUUUGAACUUUGGACUAUUGGAUAUCGCCUUUUUGUGGCUGUUGACAAGCUUAUCAUGUUACUAUGAGAUUAUAACCAGGUUUGAAGGUGACAAACGUGUUGUCUCAUUAACUUGAAUUUAUAUAUUGUUAUAUAUAAAUUUGCUUUAAUACUUC